GUGAUGAUAAAGUCUUAGAUCAAAAUGGUUAGAACAGUAAUGAAUACCGUGAUUUCAAUCUAGGGCGGACUGAUUCU
This is a small nucleolar RNA of Hermetia illucens (black soldier fly), 77 nucleotides long. RefSeq annotates it as small nucleolar RNA U43. The record is from RefSeq and is a predicted model, not a curated record. The transcript has a single exon. NCBI's taxonomy places the organism in Eukaryota, Metazoa, Arthropoda, Insecta, Diptera, Stratiomyidae.